This 148-nucleotide non-coding RNA is filed under the name Nomascus leucogenys (northern white-cheeked gibbon). The record is from Rfam by way of RNAcentral. Lineage: Eukaryota; Metazoa; Chordata; Mammalia; Primates; Hylobatidae.
GCUGGGCAUGGUGGUGCAUGCCUGUAAUCCCAGCUACUUGGGGAGCUGAGGCAUGAGAAUCGCUUGAACCCAGGAGGAAGAGGUUGCAGUGAGCCAAGAUGGCACCACUGCACUCUAGCCUGGGUGACAAAGCUAGACUCUGCCUCAA